This 495-nucleotide ribosomal RNA is filed under the name uncultured bacterium. Its description in RNAcentral is "partial 16S ribosomal RNA". It matches the Rfam family "Bacterial small subunit ribosomal RNA", at positions 28 to 507 of the family's 1533-position model. The record is from RNAcentral.
GACGAACGCUGGCGGCGUGCCUAAUACAUGCAAGUCGAACGCUGAAGGAGGAGCUUGCUUCUCUGGAUGAGUUGCGAACGGGUGAGUAACGCGUAGGUAACCUGCCUGGUAGCGGGGGAUAACUAUUGGAAACGAUAGCUAAUACCGCAUAAGAGUAGAUGUUGCAUGACAUUUGCUUAAAAGGUGCAAUUGCAUCACUACCAGAUGGACCUGCGUUGUAUUAGCUAGUUGGUGGGGUAACGGCUUACCAAGGCGACGAUACAUAGCCGACCUGAGAGGGUGAUCGGCCACACUGGGACUGAGACACGGCCCAGACUCCUACGGGAGGCAGCAGUAGGGAAUCUUCGGCAAUGGACGGAAGUCUGACCGAGCAACGCCGCGUGAGUGAAGAAGGUUUUCGGACCGUAAAGCUCUGUUGUAAGAGAAGAACGAGUGUGAGAGUGGAAAGUUCACACUGUGACGGUAUCUUACCAGAAAGGGACGGCUAACUACGUG